This 261-nucleotide ribosomal RNA is filed under the name uncultured prokaryote. Its description in RNAcentral is "partial 16S ribosomal RNA". It matches the Rfam family "Bacterial small subunit ribosomal RNA", at positions 524 to 784 of the family's 1533-position model. The record is from RNAcentral.
UACGGAGGAUCCGAGCGUUAUCCGGAUUUAUUGGGUUUAAAGGGUGCGCAGGCGGGAGAUUAAGUCGGCGGUGAAAUUUUGCAGCUCAACUGUAAAAGUGCCUUCGAUACUGGUUUCCUUGAGUGUGGAUGAAGUAGGCGGAAUUUGUGGUGUAGCGGUGAAAUGCUUAGAUAUCACACAGAACACCGAUUGCGAAGGCAGCACACUAAGUCAUUAUUGACGCUGAGGCACGAAAGUGUGGGGAUCAAACAGGAUUAGAUA